RNAcentral lists this transfer-messenger RNA (387 nucleotides) under Burkholderiales. RNAcentral describes it as "Bordetella_A sp002261185 Standard tmRNA". It matches the Rfam family "transfer-messenger RNA". Rfam says of the family: Bacterial tmRNA, also known as 10Sa RNA or SsrA, is named for its dual tRNA and mRNA-like properties. Its role is to liberate the mRNA from a stalled ribosome. To accomplish this part of the tmRNA is used as a reading frame that ends in a translation stop signal. The record is from RNAcentral. Lineage: Bacteria; Pseudomonadati; Pseudomonadota; Betaproteobacteria. RNAcentral also lists the same sequence under 1 other name.
GGGGCCGAUCCGGAUUCGACGUGGGUCGCGAAACAACUCAGGGCAUGCCGAGCACCAGUAAGCUCGUAAAACCACUGGAACACAUUAAACGCAAACGAAGAGCGUUUCGCUCUCGCCGCUUAAGCGGUGAGCCGCUGCACUGAUCUGUCCUUGGGUCAGGCGAGGGAAGGCAACUUCCUAGGGGGCAACCUCGAAUCGCAGCAGCGUCCUUUACAAGGAAUCGGUCUGCGCUGGGGUCACACGGUUCAGUCUUAAAUUACGUGAAUCGCCAUGGUCCGGCCUGUCGAUCGGCUAAGUCCAUGGUUAAAACUAAAUAGGUCGACUACGCAUGUAGAACUGGUUGCGGAGGGCUUGCGGACGGGGGUUCAAUUCCCCCCGGCUCCACCA